GUAGUACAUCACGAGCGACCAACAGGUCCGGCAACCGGGAUUUCCCACGGUGCCAUUUCGCGAAAUGCGAAAGAUGUGGCUACGCCAACAGGCGUAGCAACGGGCUGGCUCAGUUG
The submitters of this non-coding RNA (116 nucleotides) gave its source as unclassified sequences. The record is from Rfam.